Coturnix japonica (Japanese quail) is the source of this 2148-nucleotide non-coding RNA. Lineage: Eukaryota; Metazoa; Chordata; Aves; Galliformes; Phasianidae. The record is from RefSeq and is a predicted model, not a curated record.
GGGGCGGGCUGGGCCGAGCCACGGGGCUGAAGGGCGGCUGCAACCGUUGUGGGGGGGGUAAAGGGGGUGGGGGGCUCCUGCCGUUGUUUGGGGAGCUUUGGGAGACCCUAAAGUGUGUGCUAUGGGGUCUGGGCGACCCUAAAGUGUGUGCUAUGGGGUCUGGAAGACUCUAGUGUGUGGUGGAGGCCCUGCAGUGUGCUAUGGGGUCUGGGCGACCCUGCAGUGUGCUAUGGGGUCUGGGAGACCCUGUGGUGUGGUGUGGGGUCUGGGAGACCCUACAGUGUGCUAUGAGGUCUGGGAAACCCUAGUGUGUGGUGGAGACCCUGCUGUGUGCUAUGGGGUCUGGGAGGCCCUACAGUGUGCUAUGGGGUCUGGGGGGAGGCCCUACAGUGUGCUAUGGGGUCUGGGAGGCCCUACAGUGUGCUAUGGGGUCUGGGAGGCCCUACAGUGUGCUAUGGGGUCUGGGAGACCCUAGUGUGUGGUGGAGACCCUGCUGUGUGCUAUGGGGUCUGGGAGACCCUACAGUGUGCUAUGGGGUCUGGGAGGCCGUACAGUGUGUAGGAGACCCUGCAGUGUGGUGUGGGGUCUGGGCGACCCUGCAGUGUGCUAUGGGGUCUGGGCGACCCUGCUGUGUGGUAUGGGGUGAUUUUAGGGCUCCUUAAUGCGGUGUGGAGGGGUUGGGGAUCCAUUCGAUGCUGUAUUGAGGGCUGUGGGGCUGCUCAAAGGGCUCCCCGGUGCUGUAUGAGGGGUUUUGGGGUUCUCUGGUGCAGCGUGAGGGAUUUGGGAUUCAAUGUAUUGCCAUAUAAAGGAGCUUGGGGACGCCCUGCUGUGGGAUUUAAGGCUCCCUCGUGGUUCUAUAUGGAGGGGUGGGGGGGAAUGGAGGAAGUUUAGGGUCUCCCCACUGAGCCGAGGGGGUCAGAGUUCCCCUAAAGCCUUGAGGAGUUUUGGAGUCCCCUUAAUGAGAGGGUUUGGGGUUUUCUUACUGCUGUAUUAUUUUGGGGGCUCCCCCUAAAGCCAAGGGAGCUUCUCUGCUGUGGGGUUUGGGGCUGUGCCACGAGGUCGGGUCCCUGCAGCUCUUGACUCAAGUAGGAGAAGCCCUCCCCUUUAAGCCCCCCACCUCCUUCCCUUUUAAGCCCCCCCCAUCCCUCCCCAUUAAGCCCUCAGCUUGUAGUAUGGCUGCUUUAAAGAGCUGAUUCUGACCGGACCCAAAUGUAGCCUGGAAAAUAGCCCCUGGGCUGAGCAGAUGGGAUUGGGGGGGUGGGGUGGGGGGGCUGCAGGUUUGGAUGUUCUGGAAUGGACUGGAAGGGAGAACCGGCCAUUUUGGGCUGCUCUUAUGUAACUUGGAAGUGAGUCCUUGGAGGGGGGGUGAGAGCCAACCAUUUUGGGCUGAAUUUGUGUCAUUUCGAAUGGAGUCCUUGGGGACCGACAGGAACUGACCAUUUUUGGCUGUUUUUGUGUAACUUGGAAGCAGCUCCUUUUGAGAAGGGAAGAGGGGAGGGGGAGGGGAGGGGGGGGACCGGAAACAGUGAGAACCAACCGUUUUGGCUUGGUUUUAUGUAAUUCCAAGCCCAGCCCUUAGGGACCAGCAGAACUGACCCUUUUUGGCUAUUUUUGUGUAACUCGGAAGUGACUCCUUGGCUGGGGGGGGGGAAGGGGGAGAGGAAGGAAGGGAACCAGUGAGAACCAGCCGGUCUUAGCCUGGCUUUAUGUCAUUCCAAGGCCAGUCCUUGGGGACGUGCAGGAUGUGACCGUUUUGGGUUGGUUUUAUGUAAUUCGGAAGUGACUCUUUGGGCUGUGGUGGGUGAAUGUGAUGCCAGGUCAGGGCACAGCAGUGUUGGUGUUCUUCCUCCCCCCCUCUAAGCCAGCUUGUGGUGAACACCUUCCACUUUCCAGUUUGUUGUUUUUUGGUGUUUUUUCUUUGAAAUGCAAAGGGAUUCAGUUUGUUCCUCACUUCCUGAUGGAAAAAAGUCCAGGGGUUAAGUGCCCUGCCCCAAUUAAAUGGGAGGGUGUGCUGCUAAACAAGCUGAGCUCGGGGUGUGUGGGUUGACCCAAGCUGCUGUUAGCAACUGAGGCUUCUGCAGAGCUGGCAGCCCUGUGUACAGAGGAGGAACUGGCUUCUGGGAGGCUUCCUCUUGGUUUGAGCAAUAA